Molecule: transfer RNA, 76 nt
Filed under: Hyphomonadaceae bacterium
Lineage: Bacteria; Pseudomonadati; Pseudomonadota; Alphaproteobacteria; Hyphomonadales; Hyphomonadaceae
Description: tRNA-Thr
Rfam family: tRNA
About the family: Transfer RNA (tRNA) molecules are approximately 80 nucleotides in length. Their secondary structure includes four short double-helical elements and three loops (D, anti-codon, and T loops).
Source: RNAcentral
GCCGCCGUAGCUCAGCUGGUAGAGCAUCUGAUUUGUAAUCAGGUGGUCGGGGGUUCGAGUCCCUCCGGCGGCACCA